AAAGGUGACUAAAGCAGUGGGGUACACCUCUUACCAUUCCGAACAGAGAAGUUAAGCCCGCUAACGCCGAUGGUACUGCAGAAAUUGUGGGAGAGUAGGAAGUCGCCAUAC
This 111-nucleotide ribosomal RNA is filed under the name Prolixibacteraceae bacterium. Lineage: Bacteria; Pseudomonadati; Bacteroidota; Bacteroidia; Marinilabiliales; Prolixibacteraceae. The record is from RNAcentral.